GGGUACCGCUGAAUCCACCCCUCCCCCUGCAUCGUUCGGUAUAAACGAUGCAGACGG
Molecule: non-coding RNA, 57 nt
Filed under: unclassified sequences
Source: RNAcentral